Oryctolagus cuniculus (rabbit) is the source of this 3273-nucleotide long non-coding RNA. RefSeq lists it as uncharacterized. Lineage: Eukaryota; Metazoa; Chordata; Mammalia; Lagomorpha; Leporidae. The record is from RefSeq and is a predicted model, not a curated record.
UAGAACUGGGCUGAUGGGUGGGGAAGGGGAGGGGCGAACCCCCGGGGGGCGGUCCCUGGCGAAUGCCUGAAGCAAGACCCAGAGGAUGGGCGCUGAGGGUGACCUGGCCACGAGGUCCCCGGCGAGGACUCUGCAGCCCGAGAUCUGCAGAUGCUCAGUGGAAUCUCAGAACCCAACAGGAAGCCACUAGAAGACCCUAGGCCUGGGGGCUCCGGGGCUGAUGCUGGGCUGAGAAAGUAGACCCUUCCCCAACAGGUCCUGUGCUUCCCAUCCCCAUGGGUACAAACGAUCCACGUGGGGGUCAGUGGAGUGUAGGGACUUAUAGGGUGCACACACAGAUACCUUCGGGGCAAGGGGUCUUUGCCCUGCACCUCUAACAGUGCUGAGGGCGCAGUGCAGUGUGUGAGAGCCACCCUCUAGGGCUGGGGGCCAGGGGUCUUGGCAGGACCACUUGCUAAGCUUGUGUGGAGAGAGAAUGAAAGGUGUGGGUGAACACGGCGGAGGAACAGCGAGGGGCAGAAAGAGCACAGUGCCCAUCUGUCUCAGGCACCUGAAAGGCAAAAUGCAGAGAGCAACAGGGCUGGGUCCUGAGUCGCUGGUGCCUUGUCAAGACAGACAUCCUCCGCCUGGGGGAUCUGCCAUUCCCCUCAUCCCACAAGGGUACACUGAUCUGCAGAUGUCAGAGUGCUCCCAGACCCAGCCCUCAGUCCCCCAAGAUCACCUGAGCACCUCUCCUAGGGACACAAGCCUCCACCAGCCAAGGCUCGGGGGAAUCCUCUUCUGGACCACGCAGCUGCCUGGCAGGUGCCGCCUGCCCAGGCAAGCCCGGAUCCCUCGAUGUCCUCGGGAGCUAGCUGCUGGCACAGCCGCGGAGCUGCCUCUGAAGGGCUGGUCUGGGUCUCUGGAAUCAUCCGCAGGACCUCCCACCCCUGCCUGAGAGCCACACAGGCCUUCUCAGCUCCCGCUCUGGCCCUACGGACGAAUCCCUUCUCGCCAGGGGCUGUUGAGCCAACCCUGCGUGCGGAUUGCUCCUCGGAUGCCUGGUGGUGUGGUUUCCAUUUUGAGAUGACAUUUUUCCUUUUCCAAUAACUCAUCCUGCACACCUCCCACACCUAGAAAAUUCCUGAUGAAAAUAAGACUCUCUCCAAGCACCCCCUACACACACUCCAGUUCUCUGUUCCCAGAUCCCAGGAUACAGAGAGAAUCCAAAUGUGCAUAUUAAACCUCUCGGGAAGCUAAAACAGGAACAUUCCGUCGCCAAGGCUGUCUUCAGACGUAAGCUUUGAAAUCAGUCUUACUUGCAGAUGCUCCGGUGGAACAGUGAUCUGGUUUGAAAUAACAGUGGUACGAGAAAGCGACCUCGAUUCAGAUUGCAUGAGAGCAUUAAAUCCUGGCUUUUCACCUCCACGUGGAAUUAAUUGUUAUGACUCAGUAAUAUGGCUUUUAGUUGGGAGCGUGAUGCUAUUUAAAAAGUGUUUCGGCUCCACAGAGAUUCGUCUUAGCUACCAUUCCCACUUCGUAGGCAGAUUUGGUCAGCGAGAGGAUGUACUUAAACUCAAGCGGCACUGCUGUUUAAUUACCUCUAUGCCGCCAACCAGGAAACGAGGAAGAAGCUGCCACUGAGGGUGAAUGAAACAGAGACAUCUACUGGCGAGAGAUGGGACCUGCGUGCUAAACUCUCCCAGCUUGUCCUUCCUGAUGGAGUCUGUCCAUGCUCCUUGUCCCUGUGUUGGGCUUGCGCUUACUUGGCCACUGCCAUGAAGCAGUUAGGAUGCUGUAGAGCUUCUGCCCUCAUCCUGUUGGCACCUGAGAUCAUCCCACAAUGCCGAGAACCACCCAGAAGGAAGCCAAACCAACAGCACCAUGGACAGACAGCUCCUUCACCACACUUCAGUCCUCAAUCCUUUGAUCAGAUUGUGUGGGCCUCGCCUCUAUCGUUUUCUAAGAUCCACUGGACUGUUCCAACAUGGAAGUCGUCAGGGAAUGGCAUAAAGUUCAUGACCUUAUGGAUGAGAAUUGGGAGAGAAAUAAGGUGAAAACAGUCUUCACUUUUAACAACCUCUACCUGGAGCUGCAGGUAGAGUAUUGCAAAAGCUAUGUCUGUGUGCUAUGUAUUCUGUUUUUACUGCUCGUAUUGUAAGCAGUAGAGUCAUGGAGUAGGAAAUCAUUGCUGGCAAUGGCCAUCCAGAUCCUCUUCAGGGACAGUGAGCUCACUGCUUCGGCAGCCAGGAGUACAGGACGAUGGUGUGUGUGUGUGUGCACCAGUGCCCUACAGCCGAAUUCCUCUCUGGCGUUGCCGUACACCAAAGGAAGCUGACUUGUCCAAGGUUAUGCGCCCUCCCUUGAUUCAGGCAAUUUCCAAAGACCAGGGGUGCAGAGGCCUCGCUGGGGGAGAGCUGUGAGAGCCAGCCUGUUUGGGGUAGCCAGCAUUCGGGUGCAGCUGCCUCACAGUUCAACCCUUCUGCUACAAAGCUGCUUCUCUCAGUUGCUUACAGAUUCACUGGGGAUUUUUCCCCCCGACCACCCACUCGAUGACAAUAAGGAGAGUACUGAUACAGGGUAAUUGUUUAAACUUUCACUAGUAGCAAGCUGAAAAGUGGAAGCAAAAGGAAGAGAAUGUGCUGAUGGGUGCAAAGUCUCAGGCAUAAGAGGGAUUAGGGGAAACAGUUAUUAUGAGGAUUAUGGACUCAGAUGGCUCUUGCACUGGAGAAAGAUGAGGAACUCCUGCUGGUAAUUAAGAUGAGGCACAAAAGCCAGUGUGCUCCUUCACAGUGUGUACCCAGACCUCCAUCUCCUGCAGCUAAAUGGGAGAGAAAGCUGAGGAUCAGGCCCAGGGAUUCAUCACACAGAGAGCUGAGCUCCAGAAAGUGCUGCAGCAAGUUUAGGACCUACUGGGAAGGAGUGAGACCCUGCAGCUGUGGCUGGGGACACAGGUUAAUGCCCUUGCAACUCCUGAAUCCCCAGCUUCUCUGACCCUGUGAACUCAGACAAGUGCUCACUCCUUCCUGGGAGAUGUGCUUCUGUCCUGACACAUGCAUCACAUUCUGCUUUGCAAAACAACUAUUUGAACAUAAUUGACGUUUACAGUGACCCUGCACACAGCAAAAGCAGGACACUCAGUCUUUUUAACUGUGCAUGAACAUUCGCCAACCUAGAUCAUCUCCUGCUCCCUCACGUAAGACUUAGUAACUUUAAAAGAAUUGAAAUUCUACAGAAAAUGUUCUCUGACCAACAGAAUGAACUCAGAAAUCAGUAACAGAGAGAUACCUUGGA